UAAGGAAUAUUGGUCAAUGGAGGCAACUCUGAACCAGCCAUGCCGCGUGCAGGAAGAAGGCCCUAUGGGUCGUAAACUGCUUUUGAACAAGAGAAAACCCCGGUACGUGUACCGGGUUGAUAGUAUUGUUAGAAUAAGCAUCGGCUAACUUCGUGCCAGCAGCCGCGGUAAGACGAAGGAUGCAAGCGUUAUCCGGAUUCAUUGGGUUUAAAGGGUGCGUAGGCGGACUGAUAAGUCAGUGGUGAAAUCUCUCGGCUUAACCGAGAAACUGCCAUUGAUACUGUUAGUCUAGAGUACAGAUGAUGUGGGCGGAAUAUGACAUGUAGUGGUGAAAUACUUAGAUAUGUCAUAGAACACCGAUUGCGAAGGCAGCUCACAAAACUGUAACUGACGCUGAGGCACGAAAGUGCGGGGAUCAAACAGGAUUAGAUACCCAUGUAGUCCCUGAGCGGGCUGGCAAGGCGCAU
Molecule: ribosomal RNA, 467 nt
Filed under: uncultured bacterium
Lineage: Bacteria
Description: bacterial SSU rRNA
Rfam family: Bacterial small subunit ribosomal RNA
Source: RNAcentral